GCGUGCUUAACACAUGCAAGUCGAACGAGAACAUGCAGUAGCAAUACUGUGAUGCUAAGUGGCGCACGGGUGAGUAAUGUAUAGGUAACAUGCCCUUAAGAGGGGGAUAACAGAGGGAAACCUCUGCUAAUACCCCAUAACCCUUCUUAUCAUAAGAUAAGUUGGCAAAGUUUUUUCGCUUAAGGAUUGGCCUGUAUAGUAUCAGCUUGUUGGUGAGGUAAUGGCUCACCAAGGCUAUGACGCUUAACUGGUCUGAGAGGAUGAUCAGUCACACUGGAACUGAGACACGGUCCAGAGUCCUACGGGAGGCAGCAGUGGGGAAUAUUGCACAAUGGGGGAAACCCUGAUGCAGCAAUGCCGCGUGGAGGAUGACACUUUUCGGAGCGUAAACUCCUUUUCUGUUAGAAGAUAAUGACGGUAUAACAGGAAUAAGCACCGGCUAACUCCGUGCCAGCAGCCGCGGUAAUACGGAGGGUGCAAGCGUUACUCGGAAUCACUGGGCGUAAAGAGCGUGUAGGCUGUUUAGCAAGUCACAAGUGAAAUCCUAUAGCUCAACUAUAGAACUGCUUUUGAAACUGCUUAACUAGAGUGUGGGAGAGGCAGAUGGAAUUUCUGGUGUAUGGGUAAAAUCCGUAGAUAUCAGAAGGAAUACCGAUUGCGAAGGCGAUCUGCUGGAACAUUACUGACGCUGAGACGCGAAAGCGUGGGGAGCAAACAGGAUUAGAUACCCUGGUAGUCCACGCCCUAAACGAUGUACACUAGUUGUUGUGGUGCUAGUCACUGCAGUAAUACAGUUAACACAUUAAGUGUACCGCCUGGGGAGUACGGUCGCAAGAUUAAAACUCAAAGGAAUAGACGGGGACCCGCACAAGCGGUGGAGCAUGUGGUUUAAUUCGAAGAUACGCGAAAAACCUUACCUGGCCUUGACAUUGAUAGAAUCCUGUAUAGAUACGGGAGUGCCGGCUUGCCGGAACUUGAAAACAGGUGCUGCACGGCUGUCGUCAGCUCGUGUCGUGAGAUGUUGGGUUAAGUCCCGCAACGAGCGCAACCCACGUCCUUAGUUGCCAGCAUUUCGGAUGGGAACUCUAAGGAGACUGCCUUCGCAAGGAGGAGGAAGGUGUGGACGACGUCAAGUCAUCAUGGCCCUU
This 1148-nucleotide ribosomal RNA is filed under the name uncultured Campylobacterota bacterium. RNAcentral's name for it is "bacterial SSU rRNA". It matches the Rfam family "Bacterial small subunit ribosomal RNA", at positions 42 to 1203 of the family's 1533-position model. The record is from RNAcentral. Lineage: Bacteria; Pseudomonadati; Campylobacterota.